Molecule: ribosomal RNA, 2404 nt
Filed under: Shigella flexneri
Lineage: Bacteria; Pseudomonadati; Pseudomonadota; Gammaproteobacteria; Enterobacterales; Enterobacteriaceae
Description: partial 23S ribosomal RNA
Rfam family: Bacterial large subunit ribosomal RNA
Source: RNAcentral
GGGUUGUGAGGUUAAGCGACUAAGCGUACACGGUGGAUGCCCUGGCAGUCAGAGGCGAUGAAGGACGUGCUAAUCUGCGAUAAGCGUCGGUAAGGUGAUAUGAACCGUUAUAACCGGCGAUUUCCGAAUGGGGAAACCCAGUGUGAUUCGUCACACUAUCAUUAACUGAAUCCAUAGGUUAAUGAGGCGAACCGGGGGAACUGAAACAUCUAAGUACCCCGAGGAAAAGAAAUCAACCGAGAUUCCCCCAGUAGCGGCGAGCGAACGGGGAGCAGCCCAGAGCCUGAAUCAGUGUGUGUGUUAGUGGAAGCGUCUGGAAAGGCGUGCGAUACAGGGUGACAGCCCCGUACACAAAAAUGCACAUACUGUGAGCUCGAUGAGUAGGGCGGGACACGUGGUAUCCUGUCUGAAUAUGGGGGGACCAUCCUCCAAGGCUAAAUACUCCUGACUGACCGAUAGUGAACCAGUACCGUGAGGGAAAGGCGAAAAGAACCCCGGCGAGGGGAGUGAAAAAGAACCUGAAACCGUGUACGUACAAGCAGUGGGAGCACGCUUAGGCGUGUGACUGCGUACCUUUUGUAUAAUGGGUCAGCGACUUAUAUUCUGUAGCAAGGUUAACCGAAUAGGGGAGCCGAAGGGAAACCGAGUCUUAACUGGGCGUUAAGUUGCAGGGUAUAGACCCGAAACCCGGUGAUCUAGCCAUGGGCAGGUUGAAGGUUGGGUAACACUAACUGGAGGACCGAACCGACUAAUGUUGAAAAAUUAGCGGAUGACUUGUGGCUGGGGGUGAAAGGCCAAUCAAACCGGGAGAUAGCUGGUUCUCCCCGAAAGCUAUUUAGGUAGCGCCUCGUGAAUUCAUCUCCGGGGGUAGAGCACUGUUUCGGCAAGGGGGUCAUCCCGACUUACCAACCCGAUGCAAACUGCGAAUACCGGAGAAUGUUAUCACGGGAGACACACGGCGGGUGCUAACGUCCGUCGUGAAGAGGGAAACAACCCAGACCGCCAGCUAAGGUCCCAAAGUCAUGGUUAAGUGGGAAACGAUGUGGGAAGGCCCAGACAGCCAGGAUGUUGGCUUAGAAGCAGCCAUCAUUUAAAGAAAGCGUAAUAGCUCACUGGUCGAGUCGGCCUGCGCGGAAGAUGUAACGGGGCUAAACCAUGCACCGAAGCUGCGGCAGCGACGCUUAUGCGUUGUUGGGUAGGGGAGCGUUCUGUAAGCCUGUGAAGGUGUGCUGUGAGGUAUGCUGGAGGUAUCAGAAGUGCGAAUGCUGACAUAAGUAACGAUAAAGCGGGUGAAAAGCCCGCUCGCCGGAAGACCAAGGGUUCCUGUCCAACGUUAAUCGGGGCAGGGUGAGUCGACCCCUAAGGCGAGGCCGAAAGGCGUAGUCGAUGGGAAACAGGUUAAUAUUCCUGUACUUGGUGUUACUGCGAAGGGGGGACGGAGAAGGCUAUGUUGGCCGGGCGACGGUUGUCCCGGUUUAAGCGUGUAGGCUGGUUUUCCAGGCAAAUCCGGAAAAUCAAGGCCGAGGCGUGAUGACGAGGCACUACGGUGCUGAAGCAACAAAUGCCCUGCUUCCAGGAAAAGCCUCUAAGCAUCAGGUAACAUCAAAUCGUACCCCAAACCGACACAGGUGGUCAGGUAGAGAAUACCAAGGCGCUUGAGAGAACUCGGGUGAAGGAACUAGGCAAAAUGGUGCCGUAACUUCGGGAGAAGGCACGCUGAUACGUAGGUGAAGCGACUUGCUCGUGGAGCUGAAAUCAGUCGAAGAUACCAGCUGGCUGCAACUGUUUAUUAAAAACACAGCACUGUGCAAACACGAAAGUGGACGUAUACGGUGUGACGCCUGCCCGGUGCCGGAAGGUUAAUUGAUGGGGUUAGCGCAAGCGAAGCUCUUGAUCGAAGCCCCGGUAAACGGCGGCCGUAACUAUAACGGUCCUAAGGUAGCGAAAUUCCUUGUCGGGUAAGUUCCGACCUGCACGAAUGGCGUAAUGAUGGCCAGGCUGUCUCCACCCGAGACUCAGUGAAAUUGAACUCGCUGUGAAGAUGCAGUGUACCCGCGGCAAGACGGAAAGACCCCGUGAACCUUUACUAUAGCUUGACACUGAACAUUGAGCCUUGAUGUGUAGGAUAGGUGGGAGGCUUUGAAGUGUGGACGCCAGUCUGCAUGGAGCCGACCUUGAAAUACCACCCUUUAAUGUUUGAUGUUCUAACGUGGACCCGUGAUCCGGGUUGCGGACAGUGUCUGGUGGGUAGUUUGACUGGGGCGGUCUCCUCCUAAAGAGUAACGGAGGAGCACGAAGGUUGGCUAAUCCUGGUCGGACAUCAGGAGGUUAGUGCAAUGGCAUAAGCCAGCUUGACUGCGAGCGUGACGGCGCGAGCAGGUGCGAAAGCAGGUCAUAGUGAUCC